Molecule: unclassified non-coding RNA, 240 nt
Filed under: soil metagenome
Description: partial contains 5.8S ribosomal RNA, internal transcribed spacer 2, and large subunit ribosomal RNA
Source: RNAcentral
AACACUGUUAACCUGCGGUACCUGCGGAGGGAUCAUUACAGAGUUGCAAAACUCCCUAAACCAUUGUGAACGUUACCUAAACCGUUGCUUCGGCGGGCGGCCCGGGUCCUUCCCGGCGCCCCUCGGCCCUCGCGGGCGCCCGCCGGAGGUAAACCAAACUAUUGCAUUGUAUGGCCUCUCUGAGUCUUCUGUACUGAAUAAGUUAAAACUUUCAGCAACGGAUCUCAGAUCGGAAGAGCA